This 201-nucleotide long non-coding RNA is filed under the name Elaeis guineensis (African oil palm). Its description in RNAcentral is "long non-coding RNA (EGUI_LNC004890)". Lineage: Eukaryota; Viridiplantae; Streptophyta; Magnoliopsida; Arecales; Arecaceae. The record is from RNAcentral.
UACUAUUGCUUUCUAAUAUCGUGAUGAGAUACCUUGUAUGCUCGUGAGGAGAGUCCUCUAUGAGUACAUGAUAGUUGCCAUGAUCCUUGGCUCGUGAUCUCGGAUUAGGGGCGUGACUGGCAAAUUACUAGGCACGACAAAUCCUUCUUGAUAGUGGAAACUCAAUGGAUAUGCUAUUCCAUGAGAUUCUUGAGAAGAUGA